Long non-coding RNA from Numida meleagris (helmeted guineafowl), 7772 nucleotides. RefSeq lists it as uncharacterized. The record is from RefSeq and is a predicted model, not a curated record. Lineage: Eukaryota; Metazoa; Chordata; Aves; Galliformes; Numididae. The transcript is spliced from 2 exons.
UUAAAAGGUUUUUCUUAACUGUGGUGAUUUAUUUGAAACUUUGUGGGUUUCACGGUGAAAAAGUGUUUGUCAGUGUUACUGUAUUUGUUUCCUUUAGCAUCCUAGUAUAGUAACUGUGUGUGUUACCUUUGUAACAAAUACGAUUCUUGCGAAAAAUAGAUGAUGUGGCUUAAUACUUGCUUAAACAGUGAAUUUAGAAGACAUAGGAUUCUAGCUGUUAACCUUUCCAGUAAUCCUUAGUAAGAUUUAGAUUGAUGCCAGUUAACAAUUAUUAUUAUCAGUUGUCUGUUUGGAGUAUACGUUUGUCUGUAUUACUUGAUUUUGAGGAACUGGGUCUCAAUAUUGGUUAGACUUCUGUGCAAUUGAAAUACUUUGGCUACUGUAGACAUUUGGCAGUCUUUUGUAAACCCUCAGUGAUACAUUUUGAACCUCUGCCUUUCUGCACUUGUCUUAUUUGAUGUGGUCUGUUAUUCAGGGGUCAAAACAGAUUGUGGGGUUAGCAAGGCUAAUUGACAUAUAUGAAGUGCAAGCACUUACAUGAAGUAAACCAUUAACAAAAAAGGGAUGGAGUCAAAUUAUUUUUAGGGCAGCACGUCUUGAAAAAGAUACCAAGCUGAUCUCUCAGUCAACAUUGAUAGAUUAAAGUCAGUCAUUUAGCAUUGAUUUAACUCAACGAUUUUUUGGUGUGUAGGUAAGAAGAGCUAUUUCAGUUCUUCACUCUUAGUUUUCACUUUCCAUAAGUAGUUUCUCUUGAACUUUAUUUGCAAGACAAAUGUAGGUGAUCUUCUUUGUAAGUCUGUAGUGUUUGUGCCAAAAAAUGUUUGAACGCAAGGUGUGUAGAUUACUGCCAUAAAUUUUCACAGAUCUUUUUAAUGCAUGACCCAAAAAUACACUAAGUCUUCAAAGUCAUGUUAAAAUGAGAAGGAAACCAUCUACAGUGAAGCCACAAGAAUAGGCCACUUAGGUGCACAUUUUAUGGCUUUCUGCUCAAGGCUUUGGAAAAUGGAGCACCGCAUUACAGUGACAUCUGUAGACCACAGAUCUUUGAAGAGUGCUUUUUUGACUGUUUCGCUUUUCAGCUGUCUCAACAUAGCUAAUGUCAUUUGAGUAAGGAACUUAUUGGAUAGUUUUCUAGAACAACGUAGAAUGUUUAAGUAAGUAAUAUGCCUAAUUUGGAUUUUCUGUGUGAGAAAAUCAUUAAGAUCCAUAGAACAUUAAUAUUUAGAAACAUAAGAUGUAAAUUUUAUAAUAGUUUCAUCAUUUAUUAUAUUUCUGAAAAUCUGAGACUAGAAGCAAAGAGUAUUAAAUGCAGAGCAGAAGUUUCUUGCUAUGUAACUGUUGGAUAUGUUGGCUCAGUCAUGCCUGUGAAAAGUGAAAAUUAAAUAUGAAGUUUGGAUAAAUUGACAUAUGUAGGUUUCUUUGUGUCUUUUAACUGUUAAUUAUUUCCAUGCGCACAUGUGACUGCUGUAGGAAAAUAAUUGAGAUUUUUAAAAAGAAGCUGUUGCUCAGUUUGUGUUGGCAGCCACCUUACUUUAUAACAAUUUCUUCUAAUGUGUGGACACAUGGAGUUGGUUAUAUAUAUUAAACAGUUUGGCAAGUGCCGUGAGUGAAACAUAGACAUUUGUUCACACGAAUCAUGUAAAAAUCAUACAUUGCAUCAAAUGACAGUUUCAACUGGAGAGAAGCAUGGGGGAAGCAUUUUCAAAAAAAAUAUAUAUAUAUUUUAUUUUCAAUACCUAACAGGCUUUUCCAUUAUGACAAGUGAGCCUUGAACUCAAAUUACAUAAUGGACAUUUACACUUUUGGAUGAAGUUUUGUUGCAAAUUUUGAAAUUUAAGUUAAUACUAAUUAUUAUAUUUUUCAGGAUAUAAUUCAAAGUAGUUUUCUUAAAAUAUGAUAAUCUCUCAAUAUUUCUCAACCAUCUCUCAACCAUCAAACCUCACUCUAGACUUUACUUAUUGAAGAAGAUUAUUCAUGUAACAAUGGAGCAAAUUUCAGAAAUCAUGUCUCAUUUUCCAAAGCUUGUAGGCAUCAGGAGUCAGUCUCUUCUCUGCAGAGGUUAACAUCAUUGAAUGAAAUGUGACUUCUGUGAAAAGCACAACUUGUGUGCAUUUUUAAUGCAAUCGGCAUGGCAACCUUUUCAUUUCUUGUCCAUUGCAGUUAAAAUACAAGCAUAUUACAGCUGUAGUUGGCAUAUGACUCUGUUAUUAAGGCUGCAUAACAUUUUCCAUUGCGGGUCCUUUUUUAUUAAUUAAAAUUUAAUUUAGUAUCCAAUUGAAAGGCUUUAUACUGAUGCCAAACAGUGGCCAAGUUAUUUUUAGACUGGCAUACUUAUCCUGUUUCUCAAAAUGAAAUAAGGGGGACAUUGUUUUUUAGAGGGAUUGGAAGAAAAGACUUUGUGGUUUGUUUCUGCAGUUAAUUUAUUUUAUUGGGAAGACCUCAUCCUGCUGUACUUUGGAGUAAAGCCUUGGAUACCAACAGGAAAAGAACUCUUAGUAGAAUGCAACUUUUAUUAUACAAUAAGGAAAAACACCCAAAUUGGCUAAAUUACAGCUUUGAGACCUACUGGUGGAAGUUGUCUCAUUCCCUAUAGUACCUGGUAUGUAUUAGUUCUGUCAGUAACUGUUCAGGCUCUAAUAAUGAAGUCACAUACCAAAUAAGCAGUUCUGCAGUUCCAUUAUUUCACUAAAGAGAACACAGGCUUACUUCAUAUCUCCUGAAGAUAAUGCUGACGGCUCAGGUAUGCUCCUUAAAAAAUGCCAGAAUACGCACACUCUUAAGAUGACCAGUAGUCUUUUGAUUUAGUAGGUAGUAUUGAGCUGUGUUGAUUAAGAUAAUAAAGGCUAACAUUUUAUACAAUUUUGUAAUAUGGAAUUUAGUGUCACAUUUAAUCCCUAGUCAUUUUUAAUUUGUAAGCUGGUCUUCACAGUGUUUUCAGCUUCUUCAUUAAUGAUCCUGAUACUACAGUAGCAAUUGUGUUUUGGAUAAACUGCUUUUGUAAAAUAUAAUGGGAAAUCUGCUUGGAAUUGACACAUUCAUGUUUUUCUAUUUGAUACUCGACCUAAUUUCUUGGGAUGAGAUUCUUACAUAAGAAUUUUACACAUUGAAAUAGUAUCUUGAGUAGUUUUCUGUUUCUUGCUUGUUUACAGCACCCACGUGAAAUGAAACAGUUCUACCAUUUUACAUAUGGAGAGCAUAUGAAAACACAGCUCUGCUAAAUUAUUUAGGACUCAGUUUCAAAGUAGACGACUUUCCAAUUUUGCCAUUGAUUUCAAUUUUGUAAUGGAUUUAAAAUGAUAAUAUAAUUUUUAAACUGUGUGCAUAUGUCUGUGUCAAAUUGAGUUGAAUGCAUUUUUACAUUAGUGUACCCUGGUAAAUGUUUCUGAUUUUGGGGAGUAAUUUGCAUGAGCACCCAUCUAUUUUGAUUAAGUAGCUGAGUAUUUCUGUGAAUUAAGCCCUUCUUUAGAUGGCCUGUCCAGAAGUGCAAAGAAGACUAAUGAUGAAAAGGAAACUGAGAUCAAAUGUCUCGAGUCUUGGACUGGUGUCUAAACCGCUCCACUGUCAUCCUAGUACAGCUGUGGUUUGUCUUGAUGCUUCAGUUCAACCAUCAAGAAGAUUGCAGAGCACUUAGUCAAGAAAAGAGGAAAGUGAGAUAAGACACACAAUUCUGCCUUAAUUCUAAUCCCCAGAAAAUCUGAUGUCUUUAUUGUCAUGAUUCUUGCCACUUUUUCAACUAAGCUUUUAAUACAAGAAGACACUGUAUAUGCUUGCUUAGUUUAGGGUAUGUGGAUAAUCUUGUAACCUUCAUGGUCUAGUAAAAUAAUUGUGGCUCACUGAACGAGGAAUUAAAGAUAGAGUUUAAAGAACAAGACGGUAAAUUACUUAAGAACCCAGAAAGACCACGGCUUCACCCAGAACACUAACUGCUCUGUUUCCAGGAAUAAACAACAAGAAGUAUAUUAAUAGAAUCACAUGAAUUAACACUUUUUUGUAGUAUUUUGAGAUUCUUUUUCAUCAUCUUGAGAUAUCUGAAGAGGUAUUGGAGUCCAGAUACUAGAAAAAAAAUCAGAAUAAAAUCUUAGGAUUGUAUAUCAUGUAAAAAGGCAGGAAUUAUAUAUCAUAAAUACCUUUCUAGCAUUUUUUAUCAUUGCUUAUUACUACCACCUUGACUAUUAUAGGUAACGUAUUUUUUCCAGUUCCUUAUCUUUAUCGAACAAGAUAAGAAUAAUGAGCACUGUCUGAACAUUGAUAUUUAUUUACUGUGUGAACAGUGAUAAUUCUUUACAACUCCUGCAGUAGCUAUGCAUCUAUUUUGAGCAGACUGAGACCUCCAUUGAAGGUCUUGCAGAUUUGUACAUUUGUCUACUGAGGUUUUUAAGUUUCUAAAAGGAAAAUUAUUUACCAGAUACCUACUAAUAGAGGGAAUUUUGUGAAGAGAUGUGGAUGCUUCAUUAUAGAUGUUGAUGGCCAUGCUGGGAAAAAUGCAACUAGUCCCAGGUUUAGGUUUGUAUGGUGGUAGGUUUAAGGGGAGCUGAAGAAGAAAGUUUGGCACUCUGCCUGACACAGGAUGGAGUUAGUGAGAGAUAUGAAGAGCUGCAGCUGCUUCUUUGGAUAGUCCCCAAGGAGGUCUGGUGAUUAAACUGGGGGUGCAGAACAGGGAUCCUGAAGAAAUGUUUUCAUCUUCUGAGAGUUGGUGCAUCAUCUGCCUUUGUAAAACUUAUUUUCCUUCUCAUUUAAUCAUAGUGCACUGAGAUAGGGGAGUGUAUUCCAGCAUUUUUCUUGUGUUUUUCUUUUGUGGGUGUAGCUUUUUUUAAACUUUGGUGGAGAUUUUGUUCCUUGAAAUAAAGUAUUUGGAGACAUAAGAACAGCUAUACUGAAUUUGUGCCAAAUGUGCAUUUAGCUUGUCUUGUUCUGACAGUGACCAAUAGCAGAUACUGGAAGAAGUGUAUAGGAACCGGGCAAUCAUACAGUGUGCUCUAGUCUGCUCUGCCAAGUUUCUAUUCAUCUUCAUGUUAUGGUUUUCCUGUGCCAGAAGUGGUAACUAUAUAUUUUAUAGCUCUUCGUGAAAUUUUGGCGUUGAUAUUUUUUUACCUGCCUUUUGAACCUGUAUACAUUUGUAAUAAGUUUGGUGUGCGUAUGUCUACAGUGUCAUUCAGCAAUGAAUUUUAAUCAUUUAUUUACUGAUCAGGCAAAUUUCUUUCUUUUUUUCAUACCCCUAACUUGUCUGUUAUGAUCAACAAUUGUUUUCUGUUCACUUGAUUCAUUCUUAUUCCUGAUUUUAUGGAUCUUUUGCAUUUUUCUUUCCUCUAAACUGAAAAGUCCUAAUCUGUCUACCAGUUUUUGUUGCCAUUUUGUGCCCUGAAAUCCUGCUCCUCUCUGAGUGUCCUUUUUACUUUCAUUUGUUAUCUACAUGAGGAAGGAGAGCACAGAUCUGCAAUUAAGAUUAUAAAGCAAGAGCAUUAUAGAAUUCUUCAAUGGAAAAAUGAUGCACUGUAUUCUUUUCUGAUAAUUCCAGCGUCGCUGGGAGUUUGGCUUUUGAGGGAAGGUUUUUUAUUCUAUUUUGAGACAGUUUCUGAACACUGAACUGGCAUUUUGUGGAACUGUUUGCUGCAGCUCCAGCAUCAUUCCUCACUGGCCAAAUUCAGAGAGCUUUGCUGAGUACAUUAAAUUACUGUAGAUUUGGGAAGUCUUACUUUCAUUUACAUAAAUUAUUCUUACUCUUCUUUAAAUAUAUAACAUUUUUCAUGUUUUCCAAUUUGAGGCCUGAGCUUUUGAGCCUUUGUAGCUUCUACCAAUUAGCUAUGUGCUGGUUGCAGACACUAUGAGCUGCUGUUAGUUGGAUUUACCCUGUAAAAAAACUGUGCUCAAUAUUGCUACUUACACUUCGACACUAUCCCUCACGUGGCAGCUUCAAAUCAGAAGCUCUGUUCCUGCAUGGAUUCAUUUGCAAGAUUUGGCCUGAUUUUAGCUGACUUCCAUGGUUAACUUAAUAAAACAAAAAAAAAAAAAACAACAAAAAAAAAACCCCAGUAUAUUUAACAGUAUAUUUGUUAUUGUGGUUGUAUUCUGAUUAUGUGGUAUUUUUUGACGUCUGUGUAAUUCCUUCCGUUUAACUCUGUUGUAAUUGUUUUCACCUUUGUUUUGAUUUGCGUAUUACAGUUUGAUGGAAAGAAUAUUAAUGUGUCAAACUCUUAGACUAAUGCACCUUUUCUAAGUUGUUAAAUCAUUACAAAAGACAACUUAUUUAAAAAAAAAAAAAGAUUUUAAGUUGCAAAAUAUAAUUUGUUUAACAUUGCAGCAAUGAGACAUAUAGGAAAUAGUUACUUUCUUAGAGGUGCCAGUCCCUGAAAAUUCUGCUCCUGGUACUUUAUUUUCAGCCAUGACAUUUAGAAGAUCCUUAGACACUCUGUUGGUAUGGUUUACUACUCAAAUGCAGAAAUUGAUAAAUGUUCAAAUCUUCACUUCACUCUGAGUCUACUUAAUGCUAAUUAAAAGGAAUCAUGACAAAUGGGAGAUUAGUACUUGUGCCAGAUUGGGGAUUAUUGGUCUUUAAAAGAAAUAGCUUGGAAAGGUUCGUAGUUUAAUAAAUGUGACAUACUAAAGUAUCUUAGUCCAGAUGAUACUGAUUAUGGUAUAAGUGUUUCUUUAAGAUGGCAUAUAUCUUUCCAUUAAGAAUGCUGGAUUUACAGAAUCAGCCAAUAACUAUUCCAGUAUUUUGUUGUAAACCUUGGAAAACAGAUAGGGGGAAUUCCAUAUCAUAGGUUCCGUGCAGGCAAGCACUGCAUAUCUUGUUGGAGCACAGAGAAUUUUGUCUUUUUUUUUUUUUUUUUUUACUUAAGGUGGAAGUAAUUCAGUUUGAUUUUGUAUCAGACUAGUUUUUAAAAAUCUUACUUCUGUAAAGAGCUGGGAAGUAAGAUGUGAAUGUCAUUUUUCCUAUCUUUUUUAGCAUAAUUGUUACAACCAUUUUAGUAUGCUCUGUAAAUUUCAAAAUAAUCUCAGAUCGGGCUGUUGAAAAUAGUUUUACUGAUAUUAAAGCAGGUAAUGAACUACAUGUAUAAAAUAUGCCAGGUAAAUCUAUAGUAUGGGUGAAAAUCUGCCUUUUUUCUUAAAAGAAACCAGUUUUCGUCUGGUAGAGUGACUGUUAGCAUUGGUGGUGGUUCUGCUCAGUAAAACUGUUUAAUUUGAUUGAAGUGAAGAAGAUGACACUCUGUGUGCCAUUACUUAUCUCAGUCUCCUCAAGAUGCUCAGGAAGCUGCCUGGACUUGAGUCCCAGGAAACAGGAAACUGUUGCCCAUAGGGACUCAGAACAUAAAUCGGAAGUAGGAUUAGAAAUAUACAGCAUAGAAAAUUGCCCACAUCUGAUUUUAGUGCAGGCCAUCUCAUACCUGAUUUUCUUAAAGCAGGCAUUCCAGGAGUCAUAUUGAAUUUCGUUCUUUAUUUAUUAAAAAAAAAAAAAAAAAAAAAAAAAAAAACUGAGAGUUUUAUGGUAUUUAAAGAAGAGCUAGAAAGUGUGAUGGGAGAGUAGUCUGUGAAUACAGCUAAAGCAAUGCUGUUUUGCUUCCAGGACUUUAUUUUUCAAUCAGUCCAAAGACUCCUUGGGAUCACAGAUCUGAAUAAUCUGGAUCUCUUCUACUGAACACCUGCCUACAUGUAUGUCUCUUGGCACUGUGUUCAGAACGUUUUUGUUACAAUUUUAUUUGUGAUUGAAAAAUGAUGUAAAUUACCUUUAAAAAAAAAAAAAAAGAGCAACUACCAAAAAAAAAAAAAAAAAA